GAUCCUGGCUCAGGAUGAACGCUGGCGGCGUGCUUAACACAUGCAAGUCGAACGGAACUACUUUAAUGAGAUUCUUCGGAAAGGAUUUGAUUUAGUUUAGUGGCGGACGGGUGAGUAACGCGUGGGUAACCUGCCUCAUACAGGGGGAUAACAGUUGGAAACGGCUGUUAAUACCGUAUAAGCGCACAGUACCGCAUGGUACAGUGUGAAAAACUCUGGUGGUAUGAGAUGGACCCGCGUCUGAUUAGCUAGUUGG
RNAcentral lists this ribosomal RNA (256 nucleotides) under uncultured bacterium. RNAcentral describes it as "partial 16S ribosomal RNA". It matches the Rfam family "Bacterial small subunit ribosomal RNA", at positions 15 to 252 of the family's 1533-position model. The record is from RNAcentral.